AAGCAUUAUACCGUGAAACUGCGAAUGGCUCAUUAAAUCAGUUAUCGUUUAUUUGAUAGUACCUUACUACUUGGAUAACCGUGGUAAUUCUAGAGCUAAUACAUGCUGAAAACCCCAACUUCGGGAGGGGUGUAUUUAUUAGAUAAAAAACCAACGCCCUUCGGGGCUUCUUGGUGAUUCAUGAUAACUUUACGGAUCGCAUGGCCUUGCGCCGGCGACGGUUCAUUCAAAUUUCUGCCCUAUCAACUUUCGAUGGUAAGGUAUUGGCUUACCAUGGUUUCAACGGGUAACGGGGAAUUAGGGUUCGAUUCCGGAGAGGGAGCCUGAGAAACGGCUACCACAUCCAAGGAAGGCAGCAGGCGCGCAAAUUACCCAAUCCCGACACGGGGAGGUAGUGACAAUAAAUACUGAUACAGGGCUCUUUUGGGUCUUGUAAUUGGAAUGAGUACAAUUUAAACCUCUUAACGAGGAACAAUUGGAGGGCAAGUCUGGUGCCAGCAGCCGCGGUAAUUCCAGCUCCAAUAGCGUAUAUUAAAGUUGUUGCAGUUAAAAAGCUCGUAGUUGAACCUUGGGUCUGGCUGGCAGGUCCGCCUCACCGCGUGUACUUGUCCGGCCGGGCCUUCCUUCUGGAGAACCUCAUGCCCUUCACUGGGCGUGUUGGGGACCAGGACUUUUACUUUGAAAAAAUUAGAGUGUUCAAAGCAGGCCUUUGCUCGAAUACGUUAGCAUGGAAUAAUAGAAUAGGACGUGCGGUCCUAUUUUGUUGGUUUCUAGGACCGCCGUAAUGAUUAAUAGGGACAGUCGGGGGCAUCAGUAUUCAAUUGUCAGAGGUGAAAUUCUUGGAUUUAUUGAAGACUAACUACUGCGAAAGCAUUUGCCAAGGAUGUUUUCAUUAAUCAGUGAACGAAAGUUAGGGGAUCGAAGACGAUCAGAUACCGUCGUAGUCUUAACCGUAAACUAUGCCGACUAGGGAUCGGGCGAUGUUCUUUUUCUGACUCGCUCGGCACCUUACGAGAAAUCAAAGUUUUGGGU
Molecule: ribosomal RNA, 1032 nt
Filed under: Phaeosphaeriopsis triseptata
Lineage: Eukaryota; Fungi; Ascomycota; Dothideomycetes; Pleosporales; Phaeosphaeriaceae
Description: SSU rRNA
Rfam family: Eukaryotic small subunit ribosomal RNA
Source: RNAcentral